RNAcentral lists this ribosomal RNA (327 nucleotides) under uncultured eukaryote. RNAcentral describes it as "partial 18S ribosomal RNA". It matches the Rfam family "Eukaryotic small subunit ribosomal RNA", at positions 1470 to 1796 of the family's 1831-position model. The record is from RNAcentral.
CCCUUAGAUGUUCUCGGCCGCACACGCGCUACACUGAAAGAGGCAACGUGUUUGCCUGAUUCGAAAGAAUUGGGUAACUCCCUAAUCUCUUUCGUGCUGGGGAUUGAGGUUUGCAAUUAUCCUUCAUGAACGAGGAAUUCCCAGUAAGUGCGAGUCAUUAUCUCGCGCUGACUACGUCCCUGCCCUUUGUACACACCGCCCGUCGCUACUACCGAUUGAAUGAUUUAGUGAGGACUUCGGACUGAGUCCAAUGCGGCUUUCGGGCUGCGUUGGUAUUUCGGAAAGAUGUCCAAACUGUAUCAUUUAGAGGAAGUAAAAGUCGUAACA